This 425-nucleotide ribosomal RNA is filed under the name uncultured bacterium. RNAcentral's name for it is "partial 16S ribosomal RNA". It matches the Rfam family "Bacterial small subunit ribosomal RNA", at positions 354 to 796 of the family's 1533-position model. The record is from RNAcentral.
GUGGGGAAUAUUGGGCAAUGGGCGAAAGCCUGACCCAGCAACGCCGCGUGAAGGAAGAAGGUUUUCGGAUCGUAAACUUCUAUCCUUGGUGAAGAUAAUGACGGUAGCCAAGAAGGAAGCCCCGGCUAACUACGUGCCAGCAGCCGCGGUAAUACGUAGGGGGCAAGCGUUGUCCGGAAUGAUUGGGCGUAAAGGGCGCGUAGGCGGCCCGGUAAGUCUGAAGUGAAAGUCCUGCUUUUAAGGUGGGAAUUGCUUUGGAUACUGUCGGGCUUGAGUGCAGGAGAGGUAAGCGGAAUUCCCGGUGUAGCGGUGAAAUGCGUAGAGAUCGGGAGGAACACCAGUAGCGAAGGCGGCUUACUGGACUGUAACUGACGCUGAGGCGCGAAAGUGUGGGGAGCAAACAGGAUUAGAAACCCUAGUAGUCC